CGACCUGUAAAUAAAACAUUUGACUCCAAGUACACAAAACUGACAUUAAAGCAUGACGAAGAUAACACGAAAAUUUGGGGGUGCUUUUCUGGGCAUAGAGUUGGACUUGUUAGACUGAUACCUAAGCAUGGAUCAAUUCCAAUACAAAAUCAUACUGGAAGAAACAAUGUUACCGUAUGCUGAUGAAGUGCUUUCAGCUAUUUGGAUAUUCCAGAACGACAAUGAUCCGAAUUUUGAAGCCUACACCGUUGAGAAAUUCUGCAUAACACAGUCAGUUUCUGUCUUAGACUAGCCAGCUAACGUCCAGAUCUAAAUUCAAUUGAAAAUCUUUAGUGUGAAGCCAAGAAAAGUGUAAUCAAACGACAGUGUAGCAUUUUAAGAGCAUUACGAUGUUUAGUUGGAAUAAUGGAGUUCUAUUUCUCUUGAAAAAU
Maniola jurtina (meadow brown) is the source of this 431-nucleotide long non-coding RNA. RefSeq lists it as uncharacterized. The transcript has 3 exons. NCBI's taxonomy places the organism in Eukaryota, Metazoa, Arthropoda, Insecta, Lepidoptera, Nymphalidae. The record is from RefSeq and is a predicted model, not a curated record.